This 422-nucleotide ribosomal RNA is filed under the name uncultured bacterium. RNAcentral's name for it is "bacterial SSU rRNA". It matches the Rfam family "Bacterial small subunit ribosomal RNA", at positions 794 to 1219 of the family's 1533-position model. The record is from RNAcentral.
UCCACGCCGUAAACGAUGAUUACUGGUUGUGCGCGAUACACAGUGCGCGACUGAGGGAAACCAUUAAGUAAUCCACCUGGGGAGUACGUUCGCAAGAAUGAAACUCAAAGGAAUUGACGGGGGCCCGCACAAGCGGAGGAACAUGUGGUUUAAUUCGAUGAUACGCGAGGAACCUUACCUGGGCUUAAAUGUAGAGUGCAUGACUUGGAAACAGGUCUUUCCUUCGGGACUCUUUACAAGGUGCUGCAUGGUUGUCGUCAGCUCGUGCCGUGAGGUGUCGGGUUAAGUCCCAUAACGAGCGCAACCCCUAUCGUUAGUUGCCAGCGGAUCAUGCCGGGGACUCUAACGAAACUGCCGGUGUAAACCGAGAGGAAGGUGGGGAUGACGUCAAAUCAGCACGGCCCUUAUGUCCAGGGCUACAC